UGUCACCAGUCAGUCAGUAUGGAGGCUUCUGUCACCAGUCUGUCAGUAUGGAGGCUUCUGUCACCAGUCUGUCAGUAUGGAGGCAGAACAGCUGCUGCUGGUGAACGUAGAGGUGCCCUAUAGACACAUAGAGGAGAUGAUUGGUUGGUAGACACAUGGAGGUGUUGGGGAGAUGAUUGGUUGGUAGACACAUGGAGGUGUUGUGGGAGAUGAUUGGUUGGUAGACACAUGGAGGUGUUGGGGAGAUGAUUGGUUGGUAGACACAUGGAGGUGUUGUGAGAGAUGAUUGGCUGGUAGACAGAUGGAGGAGAUGAUUGGUUGGUAGACACAUGGAGGUGUUGGGGAGAUGAUUGGUUGGUAGACACAUGGGGGUGUUGUGGGAGAUGAUUGGUUGGUAGACACAUGGAGGUGUUGUGAGAGAUGAUUGGUUGGUAGACACAUGGAGGUGUUGGGGAGAUGAUUGGUUGGUAGACACAUGGAGGUGUUGUGGGAGAUGAUUGGUUGGUAGACACAUGGAGGAGAUGAUUGGUUUGUAGACACAUGGAGGUGUUGUGGGAGAUGAUUGGUUGGUAGACACAUGGAGGUGUUGUGGGAGAUGAUUGGAGUCUGGGUGACUGUGGUCCAGCAGUCUGGGUGACUGUGGUCCAGUAGUCUGGGUGACUGUGGUCCAGCAGUCUGGGUGACUGUGGUCCAGCAGUCUGGGUGACUGUGGUCCAGCAGUCUGGGUGACUGUGGUCCAGCAGUCUGGGUGACUGUGGUCCAGUAGUCUGGGUGACUGUGGUCCAGUAGUCUGGGUGACUGUGGUCCAGCAGUCUGGGUGACUGUGGUCCAGUAGUCUGGGUGACUGUGGUCCAGUAGUCUGGGUGACUGUGGUCCAGCAGUCUGGGUGACUGUGGUCCAGCAGUCUGGGUGACUGUGGCCCAGCAGUCUGGGUGACUGUGGUCCAGUAGUCUGGGUGACUGUGGUCCAGUAGUCUGGGUGACUGUGGUCCAGUAGUCCUUUUGG
Molecule: long non-coding RNA, 1005 nt
Organism: Oncorhynchus tshawytscha (Chinook salmon)
Lineage: Eukaryota; Metazoa; Chordata; Actinopteri; Salmoniformes; Salmonidae
Source: Ensembl